RNAcentral lists this transfer RNA (72 nucleotides) under Camelus bactrianus (Bactrian camel). It matches the Rfam family "tRNA". Rfam says of the family: Transfer RNA (tRNA) molecules are approximately 80 nucleotides in length. Lineage: Eukaryota; Metazoa; Chordata; Mammalia; Artiodactyla; Camelidae. RNAcentral also lists the same sequence under 2 other names. The record is from Rfam by way of RNAcentral.
GUGGGUAUAGUUCAAUGGUAGAGUGCAUAUUUAACAUGCAUGAGGUCCUGGGUUCAAUACCCAGUGCCGCCA